RNAcentral lists this ribosomal RNA (497 nucleotides) under uncultured bacterium. RNAcentral describes it as "partial 16S ribosomal RNA". It matches the Rfam family "Bacterial small subunit ribosomal RNA", at positions 28 to 507 of the family's 1533-position model. The record is from RNAcentral.
GAUGAACGCUGGCGGCGUGCCUAAUACAUGCAAGUCGAGCGAACGGACGAGAAGCUUGCUUCUCUUAUGUUAGCGGCGGACGGGUGAGUAACACGUGGAUACCCUACCUAUAAGACUGGGAUAACUUCGGGAAACCGUAGCUAAUACCGGUUAAUAUUUUGAACCGCAUGGUUCAAAAGUGAAAGACGGUCUUGCUGUCACUUAUAGAUGGAUCCGCGCUGCAUUAGCUAGUUGGUAAGGUAACGGCUUACCAAGGCAACGAUGCAUAGCCGACCUGAGAGGGUGAUCGGCCACACUGGAACUGAGACACGGUCCAGACUCCUACGGGAGGCAGCAGUAGGGAAUCUUCCGCAAUGGGCGAAAGCCUGACGGAGCAACGCCGCGUGAGUGAUGAAGGUCUUCGGAUCGUAAAACUCUGUUAUUAGGGAAGAACAUAUGUGUAAGUAACUGUGCACAUCUUGACGUUACCUAAUCAGAAAGCCACGGCUAACUACGUG